AGUGAACGCUGGCGGUAGGCCUAACACAUGCAAGUCGAACGGCAGCACAGUAAGAGCUUGCUCUUACGGGUGGCGAGUGGCGGACGGGUGAGGAAUACAUCGGAAUCUACUUUUUCGUGGGGGAUAACGUAGGGAAACUUACGCUAAUACCGCAUACGACCUACGGGUGAAAGCAGGGGAUCUUCGGACCUUGCGCGAUUGAAUGAGCCGAUGUCGGUUUAGCUAGUUGGCGGGGUAAAGGCCCACCAAGGCGACGAUCCGUAGCUGGUCUGAGAGGAUGAUCAGCCACACUGGAACUGAGACACGGUCCAGACUCCUACGGGAGGCAGCAGUGGGGAAUAUUGGACAAUGGGCGCAAGCCUGAUCCAGCCAUACCGCGUGGGUGAAGAAGGCCUUCGGGUUGUAAAGCCCUUUUGUUGGGAAAGAAAAGCAGCAGGUUAAUACCCCGCUGUUCUGACGGUACCCAAAGAAUAAGCACCGGCUAACUUCGU
Molecule: ribosomal RNA, 491 nt
Filed under: uncultured bacterium
Lineage: Bacteria
Description: partial 16S ribosomal RNA
Rfam family: Bacterial small subunit ribosomal RNA
Source: RNAcentral